Molecule: long non-coding RNA, 1855 nt
Organism: Homo sapiens (human)
Lineage: Eukaryota; Metazoa; Chordata; Mammalia; Primates; Hominidae
Source: Ensembl
AGGAUACAGUUGAUAUAUUAGUUGGAUGGCAUAUAGAUCAUACUCAGAAACCUUCGCUCACGCAGCAGGUAUCUGGGUGGUUGCAGAGUUUGGAGCCAUUUUGGGUAGCUGAUCUUGCAUUUUCUACGACUCUUCUUGGUCAUUUUCUAGAAGACAUGGAAGCAUAUGCUGAGGACCUCAGCCAUGUGGCCUCUGGGGAAUCAGUGGAUGAAGACGUCCCUCCUCCAUCAGUGUCAUUACCAAAGCUGACUGCGCUUCUCCGGGUAUUUAGUACUGUGGUGAGGAGCAUUGGGGAACGCUUCAGCCCAAUUCGGGUCCUCCGAUUACUGAGGCAUACGUAACAGAUAUUCUGUACAGAGUAAUGAGAUGUGUGACGGCUGCAAACCAGGUGUUUUUUUCUGAGGCUGUGUUGACAGCUGCUAAUGAGUGUGUUGGUGUUUUGCUCGGCAGCUUGGAUCCUAGCAUGACUAUACAUUGUGACAUGGUCAUUACAUAUGGAUUAGACCAACUGGAGAAUUGCCAGACUUGUGGUACCGAUUAUAUCAUCUCAGUCUUGAAUUUACUCAUGCUGAUGUGGGCGCUAUCUCCAACUGUCUUUGCACUUCUGAGUAAGAAUCUGAUGAUUGUGCACAGUGACCUGGCUGUUCACUUCCCUACCAUUCAGUAUGCUGUGCUCUACACUUUGUAUUCUCAUUGUACCAGGCAUGAUCACUUUAUCUCUAGUAGCCUCAGUUCUUCCUCUCCUCCUUUGUUUGAUGGAGCUGUGAUUAGCACUGUAACUACGGCCACAAAGAAACAUUUCUCAAUUAUGUUAAAUCUUCUGGGAAUAUUACUUAAGAAAGAUAACCUUAACCAGGACACGAGGAAACUGUUAAUGACUUGGGCUUUGGAAGUAGCUGUUUUAAUGAAGAAGUCCGAAACAUAUGCACCUUUAUUCUGUCUUCCGUCUUUCCAUAAAUUUUGCAAAGGCCUUUUAGCCAACACUCUCGUUGAAGAUGUGAAUAUCUGUCUGCAGGCAUGCAGCAGUCUACACGCUCUGUCCUCUUCCUUGCCAGAUGAUCUUUUACAGAGAUGUGUUGAUGUUUGCCGUGUUCAACUAGUGCACCGUGGAACUCGUAUUCGACAAGCAUUUGGAAAACUGUUGAAAUCAAUUCCUUUAGAUGUUGUCCUAAGCAAUAACAAUCACACAGAAAUUCAAGAAAUUUCUUUAGCAUUAAGAAGUCACAUGAGUAAAGCACCAAGUAAUACAUUCCACCCCCAAGAUUUCUCUGAUGUUAUUAGUUUUAUUUUGUAUGGGAACUCUCAUAGAACAGGGAAGGACAAUUGGUUGGAAAGACUGUUCUAUAGCUGCCAGAGACUGGAUAAGUGUGACCAGUCAACAAUUCCACGCAAUCUCCUGAAGACAGAUGCUAUCUUUUGGCAGUGGGCCAUAUGGGAAGCUGCACAAUUCACUGUUCUUUCUAAGCUGAGAACCCCACUGGGCAGAGCUCAAGACACCUUCCAGACAAUUGAAGGUAUCAUUCGAAGUCUCGCAGCUCACACAUUAAACCCUGAUCAGGAUGUUAGUCAGUGGACAACUGCAGACAAUGAUGAAGGCCAUGGUCAUUAGAGCUUUUUUCUAUACCAGUUGCCAAACUUGUCAGGACUGGCUAACGCGGAUUCGACUCUCCAUCAUGAGGGUAGGAUUGUUGGCAGGCCAGCCUGCAGUGACAGUGAGACAUGGCUUUGACUUGCUUACAGAGAUGAAAACAACCAGCCUAUCUCAGGGGAAUGAAUUGGAAAUAACCAUUAUGAUGGUGGUAGAAGCACUAUGUGAACUUCAUUGUCCUGAAGCUAUACAGGGAAUUGCUGUCUG